UGGGGAAUAUUGCACAAUGGGCGCAAGCCUGAUGCAGCCAUGCCGCGUGUAUGAAGAAGGCCUUCGGGUUGUAAAGUACUUUCAGCGGGGAGGAAGGCGAUAAGGUUAAUAACCUUGUCGAUUGACGUUACCCGCAGAAGAAGCACCGGCUAACUCCGUGCCAGCAGCCGCGGUAAUACGGAGGGUGCAAGCGUUAAUCGGAAUUACUGGGCGUAAAGCGCACGCAGGCGGUCUGUCAAGUCUGAUGUGAAAUCCCGGGCUCAACCUGGGAACUGCAUUCGAAACUGGCAGGCUAGAGUCUUGUAGAGGGGGGUAGAAUUCCAGGUGUAGCGGUGAAAUGCGUAGAGAUCUGGAGGAAUACCGGUGGCGAAGGCGGCCCCCUGGACAAAGACUGACGCUCAGGUGCGAAAGCGUGGGGAGCAAACA
RNAcentral lists this ribosomal RNA (426 nucleotides) under uncultured bacterium. Its description in RNAcentral is "partial 16S ribosomal RNA". It matches the Rfam family "Bacterial small subunit ribosomal RNA", at positions 355 to 774 of the family's 1533-position model. The record is from RNAcentral.